AUGUGUGCAGACAUGAUAGACCUGAAGAAAGCCAUGACCAAGAUCACGGAGCUGGAGGAAGAACUCAAGUCUACACUCGAUGGAUAUGAGGAGGAAAUAGCAACACUAGUAGAGAAGAAUGAUGAUCUGAAGAAGAAGCUGAAAGUGUUCAUGGGAUUUCCCGCAACUGGAGGAGAAGACGAAGAUUGCACUUGUCCAGAGAACUACAUCAUCAUCGACGACACCGACUCGGACCCAGACGAUAGCGAUGAUGACUAUGUUGAUGAAGCUGGAGCAGAUAUCAUGGAGUCUUCAUCGGAGCAGUUUUUCUAG
This 312-nucleotide ribosomal RNA is filed under the name Triticum aestivum (bread wheat). RNAcentral's name for it is "partial small subunit ribosomal RNA". The record is from RNAcentral. Lineage: Eukaryota; Viridiplantae; Streptophyta; Magnoliopsida; Poales; Poaceae.